GGGAUGGAACCGGGGAGGAUCCGCGAUGGCCCCGCCGCAACUUCUCCCCAAGUUCCCGUCCGUGGUUCGUGUCUGUGACUCCUGUCCGUGACUCGUGUCUGACUCAGGUCUCGGAUCGCUCGGAUCCCGCGAUCCAUCACGGAUUUACGGCCGGGAUCGAUGUUUGUGCGACAAAUCCUGGGGGGGACAAGGGGGGGGACAGUGGGGACAGAGUGACAGCGACACCGCCAC
Molecule: long non-coding RNA, 231 nt
Organism: Catharus ustulatus (Swainson's thrush)
Lineage: Eukaryota; Metazoa; Chordata; Aves; Passeriformes; Turdidae
Exons: 3
Source: RefSeq, a predicted model, not a curated record